CUUAAUAAUCAUAACAACUAAUCAUGACAUCUAUUCAUAUCUCUAAGAUAUGAAAUCAUGAUUAUUCAAUAUGAUUAUAACUAAGCAUCUCAAGCAUAUCACAUAUGCAUAAAGUUCUAAUAAUAUGCAUGAAUACAAAAUAUUUUUUUUGCAGUUCUUCUUCUUAGGACAUCACAAUGGUACCCCUACGUGCCAUAAGAGUACCCCAUU
Molecule: long non-coding RNA, 210 nt
Filed under: Elaeis guineensis (African oil palm)
Lineage: Eukaryota; Viridiplantae; Streptophyta; Magnoliopsida; Arecales; Arecaceae
Description: long non-coding RNA (EGUI_LNC039455)
Source: RNAcentral